UGGGGAAUCUUAGACAAUGGGGGCAACCCUGAUCUAGCCAUGCCGCGUGAGUGAUGAAGGCCUUAGGGUUGUAAAGCUCUUUCAGCUGGGAAGAUAAUGACGGUACCAGCAGAAGAAGCCCCGGCUAACUCCGUGCCAGCAGCCGCGGUAAUACGGAGGGGGCUAGCGUUGUUCGGAAUUACUGGGCGUAAAGCGCACGUAGGCGGACUGGAAAGUUGGGGGUGAAAUCCCGGGGCUCAACCUCGGAACUGCCUUCAAAACUAUCAGUCUGGAGUUCGAGAGAGGUGAGUGGAAUUCCGAGUGUAGAGGUGAAAUUCGUAGAUAUUCGGAGGAACACCAGUGGCGAAGGCGACCACCUGGACUAAUACUGACACUGAGGUGCGAAAGCGUGGGGAGCAAACA
RNAcentral lists this ribosomal RNA (402 nucleotides) under uncultured bacterium. RNAcentral's name for it is "partial 16S ribosomal RNA". It matches the Rfam family "Bacterial small subunit ribosomal RNA", at positions 355 to 774 of the family's 1533-position model. The record is from RNAcentral.